RNAcentral lists this ribosomal RNA (301 nucleotides) under uncultured bacterium. RNAcentral's name for it is "partial 16S ribosomal RNA". It matches the Rfam family "Bacterial small subunit ribosomal RNA", at positions 509 to 809 of the family's 1533-position model. The record is from RNAcentral.
CAGUAGCCGCGGGAACACGUAGGGUGCAAGCGUUAAUCGGAAUUACUGGGCGUAAAGCGUGCGCAGGCGGUUCUAUAAGACAGAUGUGAAAUCCCCGGGCUCAACCUGGGAACUGCAUUUGUGACUGUAGAGCUGGAGUGCGGCAGAGGGGGAUGGAAUUCCGCGUGUAGCAGUGAAAUGCGUAGAUAUGCGGAGGAACACCGAUGGCGAAGGCAAUCCCCUGGGCCAAUACUGACGCUCAUGCACGAAAGCGUGGGGAGCAAACAGGACUAGAUACCCCUGUAGUCCCUGUCUCUUAUAA